Long non-coding RNA from Felis catus (domestic cat), 2068 nucleotides. RefSeq lists it as uncharacterized. The record is from RefSeq and is a predicted model, not a curated record. The transcript is spliced from 4 exons. NCBI's taxonomy places the organism in Eukaryota, Metazoa, Chordata, Mammalia, Carnivora, Felidae.
CUGUCGGUAUUGGCCGGUCCUCUACUUUUCUGACUGCGGACUACAUUUCCCAUAAGUUUCGGUGGUUCGAGUCAGCUUUUUCGCGCUUUCUUUUCUGCGCCAGAGUUUGUGGGAGUGUCUCCCUGGUGAGGGGAGGAGUUGGCAAUACUACUCAUGUGGUGUGCCCUUCUUAUUAGUGCCUCACUUUGGGUGGUAUUUGUGCUGAUGUCUUACUGCUGGUGACCAUUUGGUUAAGUUCUGUUGAUUGUUAAGCUGCCAAAACCCAGCAAGGCAACACAGAAAAAGUACAAAUACACAAACCCCGUUGGAGUCAUGGUAGUAGUAGAGUUCUAAAUCCUCUAAAGACUCACUGGAGAAUUUCUAAAGGAUGUACAUUGGCAAGAAGUAAGUUAAACCUGGAAAGACUGAAUGAGAUAAAAUCGGUAACUGUUGGAAAAUGUAAGCAUAUACUAAACAAUAAUUAAUUUUAAUGGCAUUUCAAAACAAAUUAGACUAAAAUCACCAGAUAACAAUAGAAAAAAAGUACUUAAAGCAUUCUAAAGUGUUUCUGGAGAUGUCCACUAAUUACAAAUCAAAGAUACAAGUUAAAAAUUUAAGGGUACCCUAUAAAAGAAAUAGAAUAGUUUUUAAUCCAGUAGAAAAGGGGAAUAAAGAAAACAUGAUCCAACAGAAAUCAAUGGAAAGUGAAAUGUCAUCCUGAUUGCAAACAUUAUAUGCUCUGCAUUACAUUGUGUCUUAACAAAGUUAUCUUUUGCAGGGGCACCUUAGGUGGCUCCGUUGGUUAAGCAUAAGAAGUAUAAGCUUGAUUAAAAAGAAACUGGGGAGAUGGGAUAUGGAGCUAAAAGGAGGCCUGGCAACAGCUCUUGGAAGAUAAAGACUCAGUAGAAUAGCAUGUCACUUGUUGAGGCUAAAGUGCAGUGUCCUUGCCUUUCUUAGUCUGUGUAUUUGGAAAAAUAAACCCAAAUGCAGACUGCAGAGAAGAAGACGAAAGAGAAUUGGUUAAAUAUUCAGGCCUUUCACCUUCCACUCCCUGCCUUCCCAUUACUGCCAGUUUGGAGGUUUAUGGGGGCUAAAGGAUAAAUAUGAAGUUUUUAUAUAAUUUGAUGUGGAAAUGGGCUACCUCCUGGCCAGCAGAUAUUCCCAGACUCAAGCUCAUGUGGAGACAGUCAGUUACAGGAUAAUGUUCAUGAGUUCUGGGGUCAAACAGAUCUAGAUUCCAGUCUCCACGUGCACCAUUUUUAGUUGUAUCCCUAUUUUUAUUUUAAUAUCACUGAGACUCAUUCUCUUCAGAUAAAGUAUGAAGAUAGACAUGCCAGUGCUCUGCCUACCAUGUCUAAACGAAGGGAUAUUUACAAAGUAUACAAAGGAGUUUAUAAAGAAUAUAAAGUGCUUGUAAUGUAGUCAUUCAGUAAAUUAGUGUUUUUCCACUUGUAUGUCACAAAACUAAAAUUAAAAAUAGCUGGAAAACUGUAUAGCAUAAGGCAACUAUGCACACCCAAAGAGAUUAAUAUGAAUUCCUGCUAAUUGAUUAACUACUUUUAAUCACAUUGACAUGCCCCCUUUGUUUAUUCUUUAGCAGUGGCAACAUGGGAGGUUGAGUUUUUGUGGGUGGUGAGAGCCUGGAUCCUCACUGGAUCCAUGACCGGAUAUGAUGGUUAAUAAUACACAGCUCAGUUCCCAACUGCGUCAGUAACUAUGGAUCUGUAAACAACAUCUUACAUUUACCCUAUGUCUUCUGAGUAUCAGUAUAUAUGGUUUCUUAAUUUACAUGCCACAUUGUUUAGGAUGCUCAGAUGUUCAUCAUGAGGCAGAAGAGGUAACAGUGAGAAAUUAGGCAAAGACAGGAUUGUGCAAGAUGGAAAGUGAAAUGUCAUCCUGAUUGCAAACAUUAUAUGCUCUGCAUUACAUUGUGUCUUAACAAAGUUAUCUUUUGCAGGGGCACCUUAGGUGGCUCCGUUGGUUAAGCAUUUGACUCUUGGUUUCAGCUCAGGUCAUGAUCUCAUGGUUCAUGAGAUGGAGCCCCAUGUUGGGCUCUGAGCUGACAGCACUGAUGCUGCUUGGGAUUUUC